Molecule: non-coding RNA, 28 nt
Filed under: Homo sapiens (human)
Lineage: Eukaryota; Metazoa; Chordata; Mammalia; Primates; Hominidae
Source: RNAcentral
UGAAAUUGUCUGUUCUCCUUUUAUUCUC